CUAUUUUCCUAUUCCUUGGACAAGAAAAUCGUGUUUACAUUGCGAAGCAUCUUGGUCUAUUAUACAGAGUAUUGUUGUACUGCUCCAAAGUGCUUGUUGACAGACUGAAACCACUUGCAUGCGGCUCAUAAGGUUCACUUCUUGAGAUCAGGCAGCUACAAAAUGCAAGGUCAACAAAUCCAGUAUACUUGAAAAGCAAGAAAGAAACACCAGAAAAUAUAAAAAGACAGAAGAACAAUGGAACUUUAAUAAAAAAAACAAACUUUUAAGGAUAGGAAUUCAGGAUUUAUUUAGAAACUAAAUUUAUUUUGAGAACAGCAGUGUUUGACUAAGCUCUGUUACUUUAAGAGAUAAUGUAUUAUCACAUUGGUUUUGUUAUUGUCAUGCCCUCUUGCGGAAGCGAAGACAUAGUUGUCCAAUUGUCUAUUCGGUGUAUGUGCGUGCGUGCAUCUGUCCGUCCGGAUUUGUUUGUCCGGACCUUAAUUUGGACAUGCAUGGAGCAAUCUUGUUUAUUUAUGGUAUGAAUGUUAACCUCAGUGAGACGGAGUGUCAUGCGCAAACCCCAGGUUCCUAUCUCAAAGGUCAAGAUCACACUUACAGGUCAAAGGUCGAAUUCAAAAAUGACUUUGUCCGGAGCAGUUCUUCUUCAUGCAUGGAGGGAUUUUGAUGUAACUUGGCACAAUUGUUCACCAUCAUGAGAUGGAGUGUCAUGCGCAAGAACCAGGUCCCUAGGUCUAAGGUCAAGGUCACACUUAGAGGUCAAAGGAACUUUGUCUGGAGCAUUUCUUCUUCAUGCAUGGAGGGACUUUGAUGUAACUUGGCACAAAUGUUCACCACCAUGAGACGGAGUGUCUUGCGGAAGAACCAGGUCCCUAGGUCUAAGGUCAAGAUCACACUUAAGAGGUCAAAGGUCAAAUUCAAAAAUGACUGUCCGGAGCAUUUCUUCUUCAUGCAUGGAGGGAUUUUGAUGUAACUUGGCACAAUUGUUCACCAUCAUGAGAUGGAGUGUCAUGCGCAAGAACCAGGUCCCUAGGUCUAAGGUCAAGGUCACACUUAGAGGUCAAAGGAUACAAGAAUGACAACUUUGUCUGGAGCAUUUCUUCUUCAUGCAUGGAGGGACUUUGAUGUAACUUGGCACAAAUGUUCACCACUAUGAGACGGAGUGUCAUGCGGAAGAACCAGGUCCCUAGGUCUAAGGUCAAGAUCACACUUAAGAGGUCAAAAGUCAGAUACAAGAAUGACUUUGUCUGGAGCAUUUCUUUUUGAUGCAUAGAGGGAUUUUGAUGUAACUUGGCACAAUUGUUCAUCAUCAUGCGACGGAGUGUCAUGCAUAAGAUCCUAGAAUUACUUCCCUUUGUUGUUACUAUAAAUAGCUUACAUUUGUAACUUUUUUAUUACUGGUCGUAGGGAAAAAUCAAGACCACUUUUCUGUAGUACAAGAUGCAUGUUACAUCCAAUUUUCAGGUGUAUUUUGACCUAUCUCUGCUGGUGCGGAUUUUUGUGUGGACUUAGAAUUUUUUUUAUAUUUUUUUUUUUUUAAAUUUUUUUAAAAAUUUUUUUUUUAAUUUUACGUUCCUUUGUUGUUACUGUAAAUAACUUAUAUUGUAACUUUUUGCAAUCUCUUUUAUUUGGCAUAAAUGUUUGCCUCAAUGAGACAAGGAGUGUCAUGCACAACUCCCAGUCCUUUUGACAGCUGGCGGGCUUGACAUAUUGCCCGUGGGCAUCUAGUUCUCAUAUUUUUCAUGAGAUUUUAAAGAGAAUGUUCUGUUAUACCCCCAUGUAGUAAGCUUGUCUGUCUUUCAGUCAGUAGGUUUUUUAUGGCUUCCAGAUGAUA
Mercenaria mercenaria is the source of this 1834-nucleotide long non-coding RNA. RefSeq lists it as uncharacterized. The transcript has 3 exons. The record is from RefSeq and is a predicted model, not a curated record. NCBI's taxonomy places the organism in Eukaryota, Metazoa, Mollusca, Bivalvia, Venerida, Veneridae.